GAUGAACGCUGACAGAAUGCUUAACACAUGCAAGUCGACUCGAGUCUUCGGACUUGGGUGGCGCACGGGUGAGUAACGCGUGAAGAACCUGCCUUUCAGUGGGGGACAACAGUUGGAAACGACUGCUAAUACCGCAUAAUGUCAUUUGGGGCAUCCCCGAAUGACCAAAGAUUUAUUGCUGAAAGAUGGCUUCGCGUCUGAUUAGCUAGUUGGUGAGGUAACGGCUCACCAAGGCGACGAUCAGUAGCCGGUCUGAGAGGAUGAACGGCCACAUUGGGACUGAGAUACGGCCCAG
This 295-nucleotide ribosomal RNA is filed under the name uncultured bacterium. Its description in RNAcentral is "partial 16S ribosomal RNA". It matches the Rfam family "Bacterial small subunit ribosomal RNA", at positions 28 to 334 of the family's 1533-position model. The record is from RNAcentral.